ACCUGAUUUGUACAGAAAAAGUGUUAUUAAAAGUUGCAGGAUAAGUUAUAAUUUGAAGGGGAAUCUAACCAAAUAUGUCCGUCGAUACCGAAAAAAAGUCGUUCGUUAGUGAUGUAUGUGACAAUGGAAUUCGCAACAAUCAAAAGGAACGCCAGCUCAAUGUUCAUACCGUCAAACGAUUGUACAAAUGCACUGAAUGCGGAAAGAGUUUACACACUCGAAUGAAUCUUAACCGGCAUAUGUACCUUCACACUGGCAAGAGUCCGUUCAAAUGCACUAUAUGCGGAAAAACCUUUGUUUCCAACCCUAGAUUAAGCACACACAUGACUACACAUACGGGUAAUUAUAAGUAUACGUGUGACGUGUGCGGUAAAGGAUUCGAGCGAAGGUCACGCUUGAUAGACCACAAAUACAGUCAUACCGGAGAGCGGCCAUACAAAUGCACUAUAUGCGAGAAAGAUUUUAAAACCAAAGUGAAUUUAGACUUACAUAUGAUGUUUCACACAGGAGAUCUUUCGCAUGAAUGCACUGUAUGUGGUAAAAGUUUUGCCAAUAAACAUCGCCUAAUUGCACACAAAUACACACAUACGGGCGAUUAUAAGUAUACGUGUGACGUGUGCGGCAAAGGAUUUGUGAACAAUUCACGCUUGAUAGACCACAAGUACAGUCAUACUGGAGAGCAGCCUUAUCAUUGCAAUAUAUGCGAAAAAGAUUUUAAAACCAAACCGAAUUUCGACGUACAUAUGCUGAAUCACACAGGAGAUCGUCCGCACAAAUGCACUGUAUGUGGUAAAAGUUUUGCACAUAAAUAUACCCUGACUGCACACAAAUCUACACAUACGGGUAAUUAUAAGCAUAGUUGUGAUGUAUGUGGCAAAGGAUUUAUGCACAGAUGGCGCUUGGAUUACCACAAAUACAGUCAUACCGAAGAGCGGCCUUACAAAUGCACUAUAUGCGAAAAAGGUUUUAAAACCAAACCAAAUUUAGACGUACAUAUGCUGAAUCACAGAGAAGAUCUUCCGUACAAAUGCACUGUAUGUGGUAAAAGUUUUUCCAUGAAACAUCGCCUAAUUGCACACAAAUACACACAUACGGGCGAUUAUAAGUAUACGUGUGACGUGUGCGGUAAAGGAUUCGUGCGACGUUCACGCUUGAUAGACCACAAAUAUAGCCAUACGGAAGAACGGCCUUAUCGUUGCAUUAUAUGCGAAAAAUAUUAUGCCGAUAACAAUAACCUAACCCAACACAUGUUGCUUCACACGGGUGGUCGACAUCAAUGUGAUGUGUGCGGCAAAGAAUACUCCAGGGAAUAUAACUUGAAAUUACAUAAACGCAUUCAUUCAUCUGAUCAGUCGAUUGAUCCGUUACCAAUCGAACCAACAGAUCACGAUAGCGACAUUCUAUCCAAGCAGAAGAACACAAAAAACGAAUCUACAGAACUCGAUAACAUCGACAAGAUCGAUGAACAAACAAACGCCAAUAGCAACAGCGACGCAUUCGUUUUACAACCAAACCUACAUGACCAUGUUUGCAGCAAUUAAAUUGAUCUAGAUGAAAAAGUAUCCUGCCACCUUCAGGAUGUUAUGUCAGAUUUGUAAUACAUACUUUUCUAGCAAAGAUCAUCUCCAUGAGCGUGCCUCAGUUCACGACAGCGUGAUAUGCAUUGAUGGAUCACCUAACCAGGCAUUUGAACGAGCAUAAUGAGAAAAAACGUUCUCCUGUCCUAGUGAUUGCAAAUGUGAUGUGUGUGGCAGUGAAUAAAGAACGAAACCUAAAAAUUUUGGUUUUCCGUAAAAUCUCAAAAAAUCGGUAGAAGAUCGGAAAUUGAUUUUAUCUGUUUCAAAAAGACGUAGAAUUUGUUUUUUAUUAAUAAAAUAAAUUUUGUGACAACACAAAAAUUUUAAAUUAUU
Malaya genurostris is the source of this 1910-nucleotide RNA transcript. It is a transcript of the gene named gastrula zinc finger protein XlCGF57.1-like, with no coding region annotated. The record is from RefSeq and is a predicted model, not a curated record. The transcript is spliced from 3 exons. Lineage: Eukaryota; Metazoa; Arthropoda; Insecta; Diptera; Culicidae.